CGGUGGAGCAUGUGGUUUAAUUCGAUGCAACGCGAAGAACCUUACCUACUCUUGACAUCCAGAGAACUUAGCAGAGAUGCUUUGGUGCCUUCGGGAACUCUGAGACAGGUGCUGCAUGGCUGUCGUCAGCUCGUGUUGUGAAAUGUUGGGUUAAGUCCCGCAACGAGCGCAACCCUUAUCCUUUGUUGCCAGCGGUUAGGCCGGGAACUCAAAGGAGACUGCCAGUGAUAAACUGGAGGAAGGUGGGGAUGACGUCAAGUCAUCAUGGCCCUUACGAGUAGGGCUACACACGUGCUACAAUGGCGCAUACAAAGAGAAGCGACCUCGCGAGAGCAAGCGGACCUCAUAAAGUGCGUCGUAGUCCGGAUUGGAGUCUGCAACUCGACUCCAUGAAGUCGGAAUCGCUAGUAAUCGUAGAUCAGAAUGCUACGGUGAAUACGUUCCCGGGCCUUGUACACACCGCCCGUCACACCAUGGGAGUGGUUGCAAAAGAAGUAGGUAGCUUAACCUUCGGGAGGGCGCUUACCACUUUGUGAUUCAUGACUGGGGUGAAGUCGUAACAAGGUAACCAAGGGCGAAUUCCAG
This 585-nucleotide ribosomal RNA is filed under the name uncultured Serratia sp. RNAcentral describes it as "bacterial SSU rRNA". It matches the Rfam family "Bacterial small subunit ribosomal RNA", at positions 930 to 1516 of the family's 1533-position model. Lineage: Bacteria; Pseudomonadati; Pseudomonadota; Gammaproteobacteria; Enterobacterales; Yersiniaceae. The record is from RNAcentral.